RNAcentral lists this ribosomal RNA (888 nucleotides) under uncultured bacterium. Its description in RNAcentral is "bacterial SSU rRNA". It matches the Rfam family "Bacterial small subunit ribosomal RNA", at positions 555 to 1457 of the family's 1533-position model. The record is from RNAcentral.
UGGGUUUAAAGGGUGCGUAGGCGGCUUUUUAAGUCAGUGGUGAAAUCUUGCCGCUUAACGGUAAAAUUGCCAUUGAUACUGAAGAGCUUGAGUACAUUUGUGGUAAGCGGAAUGUGUAGUGUAGCGGUGAAAUGCUUAGAUAUUACACAGAACACCAAUUGCGAAGGCAGCUUACUAAACUGUUACUGACGCUGAUGCACGAAAGCGUGGGGAGCGAACAGGAUUAGAUACCCUGGUAGUCCACGCCGUAAACGAUGUUCACUCGCUGUUUGCGAUACACAGCAAGCGGCCAAGCGAAAGCAUUAAGUGAACCACCUGGGGAGUACGAUCGCAAGGUUGAAACUCAAAGGAAUUGACGGGGGCCCGCACAAGCGGAGGAACAUGUGGUUUAAUUCGAUGAUACGCGAGGAACCUUACCUGGGCUUAAAUGUAGAGCGACAGAUUGUGAAAGCAGUCCUUCUUCGGACGAUCUACAAGGUGCUGCAUGGUUGUCGUCAGCUCGUGCCGUGAGGUGUCGGGUUAAGUCCCAUAACGAGCGCAACCCUUAUCGUUAGUUGCCAGCGGGUCAAGCCGGGGACUCUAGCGAGACUGCCACCGUAAGGUGUGAGGAAGGUGGGGAUGACGUCAAAUCAGCACGGCCCUUAUGUCCAGGGCUACACACGUGUUACAAUGGCCGAUACAAAGGGCAGCUACCAGGUGACUGGAUGCUAAUCUCUAAAGUCGGUCUCAGUUCGGAUCGAAGUCUGCAACCCGACUUCGUGAAGCUGGAUUCGCUAGUAAUCGCAUAUCAGCCAUGAUGCGGUGAAUACGUUCCCGGGCCUUGUACACACCGCCCGUCAAACAAUGGAAGCUGGGGGUACCUGAAGUCUGUAACCGCAAGGAGCGGCC